AUCCCUGUAGCGCAAUGGAUAGCGAGCGCUUUGGACUUCUAAUUCAAAGAUCGUGAGUUCGAAUCCCACCUGGGGUG
RNAcentral lists this transfer RNA (77 nucleotides) under Trichonephila clavata. It matches the Rfam family "tRNA". Rfam says of the family: Transfer RNA (tRNA) molecules are approximately 80 nucleotides in length. The record is from Rfam by way of RNAcentral. Lineage: Eukaryota; Metazoa; Arthropoda; Arachnida; Araneae; Nephilidae.